AUACGGAGGGUGCAAGCGUUACUCGGAAUCACUGGGUGUAAAGCGCGCGCAGGCGGUCUUUUAAGUUGGAUGUGAAAGCCUACGGCUCAACCGUAGAACUGCAUCCAAAACUAUUAGACUAGAGUGUGGGUGAGGAAGAUGGAAUUAGUUGUGUAGGGGUAAAAUCCGUAGAGAUAACUAGGAAUACCAAAAGCGAAGGCAAUCUUCUGGAACACUACUGACGCUGAGGCGCGAAAGCGUGGGGAGCAAACAGGAUUAGAUACCCUAGUAGUCC
This 274-nucleotide ribosomal RNA is filed under the name uncultured bacterium. RNAcentral's name for it is "partial 16S ribosomal RNA". It matches the Rfam family "Bacterial small subunit ribosomal RNA", at positions 523 to 796 of the family's 1533-position model. The record is from RNAcentral.